This 253-nucleotide ribosomal RNA is filed under the name uncultured bacterium. Its description in RNAcentral is "partial 16S ribosomal RNA". It matches the Rfam family "Bacterial small subunit ribosomal RNA", at positions 524 to 776 of the family's 1533-position model. The record is from RNAcentral.
UACGGGGGGGGCAAGCGUUGUUCGGAAUUACUGGGCGUAAAGAGCUCGUAGGUGGCCAACUAAGUCAGACGUGAAAUCCCUCAGCUUAACUGGGGAACUGCGUCUGAUACUGGAUGGCUUGAGUUUGGGAGAGGGAUGCGGAAUUCCAGGUGUAGCGGUGAAAUGCGUAGAUAUCUGGAGGAACACCGGUGGCGAAGGCGGCAUCCUGGACCAAUACUGACACUGAGGAGCGAAAGCCAGGGGAGCAAACGGG